This 773-nucleotide ribosomal RNA is filed under the name uncultured Bacillus sp. RNAcentral's name for it is "bacterial SSU rRNA". It matches the Rfam family "Bacterial small subunit ribosomal RNA", at positions 68 to 824 of the family's 1533-position model. The record is from RNAcentral. Lineage: Bacteria; Bacillati; Bacillota; Bacilli; Caryophanales; Bacillaceae.
AAUCUGAGGGAGCUUGCUCCCAAAGAUUAGCGGCGGACGGGUGAGUAACACGUGGGCAACCUGCCUGUAAGACUGGGAUAACUUCGGGAAACCGGAGCUAAUACCGGAUAAUCCCUUUCCUCACAUGAGGAAAGGCUGAAAGACGGCUUCUAGCUGUCACUUACAGAUGGGCCCGCGGCGCAUUAGCUAGUUGGUGAGGUAACGGCUCACCAAGGCCACGAUGCGUAGCCGACCUGAGAGGGUGAUCGGCCACACUGGGACUGAGACACGGCCCAGACUCCUACGGGAGGCAGCAGUAGGGAAUCUUCCGCAAUGGACGAAAGUCUGACGGAGCAACGCCGCGUGAGUGAUGAAGGUUUUCGGAUCGUAAAACUCUGUUGUUGGGGAAGAACAAGUAUCGGAGUAACUGCCGGUACCUUGACGGUACCUAACCGGAAAGCCACGGCUAACUACGUGCCAGCAGCCGCGGUAAUACGUAGGUGGCAAGCGUUGUCCGGAAUUAUUGGGCGUAAAGCGCGCGCAGGUGGUUCCUUAAGUCUGAUGUGAAAGCCCACGGCUCAACCGUGGAGGGUCAUUGGAAACUGGGGAACUUGAGUGCAGAAGAGGAAAGUGGAAUUCCAAGUGUAGCGGUGAAAUGCGUAGAGAUUUGGAGGAACACCAGUGGCGAAGGCGACUUUCUGGUCUGUAACUGACACUGAGGCGCGAAAGCGUGGGGAGCGAACAGGAUUAGAUACCCUGGUAGUCCACGCCGUAAACGAUGAGUGCUAAGUGUU